GAUGAACGCUGGCGGCGUGCCUAAUACAUGCAAGUCGAACGCUGAAGGAGGAGCUUGCUCUUCUGGAUGAGUUGCGAACGGGUGAGUAACGCGUAGGUAACCUGCCUGGUAGCGGGGGAUAACUAUUGGAAACGAUAGCUAAUACCGCAUGACAACAGUUAUUGCAUGAUAACUGUUUAAAAGGGGCAACUGCUCCACUACCAGAUGGACCUGCGUUGUAUUAGCUAGUUGGUGAGGUAACGGCUCACCAAGGCGACGAUACAUAGCCGACCUGAGAGGGUGAUCGGCCAAAAUGGGAAUGAGACACGGCCCAGACUCCUACGGGAGGCAGCAGUAGGGAAGCUUCGGAAAUGGACGGAAGGCUGACCGAGCAACGCCGCGUGAGUGAAGAAGGUUUUCGGAUCGUAAAGCUCUGUUGUAAGAGAAGAACGAGUGUGAGAGUGGAAAGUUCACACUGUGACGGUAGCUUACCAGAAAGGGACGGCUAACUACGUG
RNAcentral lists this ribosomal RNA (495 nucleotides) under uncultured bacterium. Its description in RNAcentral is "partial 16S ribosomal RNA". It matches the Rfam family "Bacterial small subunit ribosomal RNA", at positions 28 to 507 of the family's 1533-position model. The record is from RNAcentral.